RNAcentral lists this transfer RNA (73 nucleotides) under Candidatus Uhrbacteria bacterium. RNAcentral's name for it is "tRNA-Ser". It matches the Rfam family "tRNA". From Rfam's summary of the family: Transfer RNA (tRNA) molecules are approximately 80 nucleotides in length. Their secondary structure includes four short double-helical elements and three loops (D, anti-codon, and T loops). The record is from RNAcentral. Lineage: Bacteria; Candidatus Uhriibacteriota.
GGGCUCGUGGAGGUAAAGGUAACCCCAUUCGUCUUGACACCGAAAAUUACGGGUUCGAGUCCCGUCGAGUCCA